GCCGGGCGUGGUGGCGCAUGCCUGUGAUCCCAGCUACUCAGGAGGCUGAGGCAGGAGAAUCACUUGAACCCAGGAGCCGGAGGCUGCAGUGCGCUGAGAUCACACCACUGCACUCCAGCCUGGGCAACAGUGUGAGACUCUGUCUCAA
Unclassified non-coding RNA from Macaca fascicularis (crab-eating macaque), 148 nucleotides. It matches the Rfam family "Metazoan signal recognition particle RNA". From Rfam's summary of the family: The signal recognition particle (SRP) is a universally conserved ribonucleoprotein. It is involved in the co-translational targeting of proteins to membranes. The record is from Ensembl. Lineage: Eukaryota; Metazoa; Chordata; Mammalia; Primates; Cercopithecidae.